This 505-nucleotide ribosomal RNA is filed under the name uncultured bacterium. RNAcentral's name for it is "bacterial SSU rRNA". It matches the Rfam family "Bacterial small subunit ribosomal RNA", at positions 28 to 524 of the family's 1533-position model. The record is from RNAcentral.
AAUGAACGCUGGCGGCGUGCCUAACACAUGCAAGUCGGAUGUGCCGCAAGGUGCAUGGCAGACGGGUGAGUAACGCGUGGGGAACCUACCUCUUCGUGGGGAAUAACGAUCCGAAAGGAUUGGUAAUACCGCAUGAGACCGACGGCUGGGAUGCUGUCGGUGAAAGCUGGGGGACCGGAAACGGCCUGGCGCGAGGAGAGGGUCCUGCGUCUGAUUAGCUAGUUGGUGGGGUAACGGCCUACCAAGGCAUCGAUCAGUAGCCGGCCUGAGAGGGUGAUCGGCCACACUGGAACUGAGACACGGUCCAGACUCCUACGGGAGGCAGCAGUGGGGAAUUUUGCGCAAUGGACGAAAGUCUGACGCAGCAACGCCGCGUGGGUGAUGAAGGUCUUCGGAUUGUAAAACCCUGUCGUCGGGGACGAAGGUAGGGGGGUUAAGUAGCCUUUGCUUGACGGUACCCGGAGAGGAAGCCCCGGCGUAACUCUGUGCCAGCAGCCGCGGUAAU